Diospyros lotus (date-plum) is the source of this 2540-nucleotide RNA transcript. RefSeq lists it as uncharacterized. Lineage: Eukaryota; Viridiplantae; Streptophyta; Magnoliopsida; Ericales; Ebenaceae. The record is from RefSeq and is a predicted model, not a curated record. The transcript has 13 exons.
GCCUCACGUUUAGUGACAUAUCCCCCAUGGAACGAGCGCUCUGCCCUAAAACCCCAGGACGGCAGUGAAGAGAGCAACCAACAGCAUCACACUAAAUAUUUUAUCGCCACCGCCGCCCCAGCCUCAUCACCGCCGGCCAUCACCACCACAGCAGUGGCUGGCGGCGUCCACCAGUACUUUCUCUAUUCGAUUUUUCUUCUUUAGAGGCUUACACAUACACAUACACAUACACAGGCGUACACGCAUAUAGAUAGCUCGCCGAGUUUCAGCUUCGGGAUUGGAAUGGGCUCGUCAAAUAUCAGAGACCUAUUGACUUCGUUUAGCCCCUCCUUGGACUUCUUUGCUCUCAGUUCCGGCGACGGUCGAAUCAAGAUAUGGGAUGUUGCGAAGGGCCAAAUCCAGACUGAGUUUGCGGAUAUUGUGUCCACUGGGGAAACUAAUUUGUUUGGUAAACCACAAAAGGGUCACCUUUCUGUUGAUUACACAUGCAUGAAGUGGUUAUCUUUAGACAAAAAGAAAAAAAGGAAGCUGGGAAGUUCAUUGUUGGUGUUGGGGACAGGCAGCGGUGACGUUCUGGGUCUGGAUGUAUCUGCUGGUCAAUUGAAGUGGAGGGUUAGUGACUGCCAUCCUGGGGGUGUGACUGCCAUUUCGUUCCCCACAUGUGAUUCAUACGUAUAUUCGGCUGGUGUAGAUGGGGUUGUCUGCAAACUAGAUUCCAGGACAGGAAACUUGCUAGAGAAAUUCAGAGCUUCCACAAAGGGAAUACAUUCAAUGUCUGUUUCGUCAGAUGGGAAAUUGUUGGCAACUGCUGCUGCUCAGUUGAAGGUUUUUAGUUGUUCAGAUCAUAAGAAGAUGCAGAAGUUUUCAGGCCAUCCUGGGGCUAUUAGGUGUAUAAUCUUCACUGAUGAUGGGAGAUAUAUUCUUUCUUCUUCUGCCGCCGAACGUUAUGUUGCAGUUUGGAAACUUGAUGGCAGCAAAAAGCAGUCAGCCUGCUGUGUACUGGCAAUGGAUCACCCUGCUGUUUUUCUGGAUAGCAAGUGCAUUGACACUGGCAAUGUAGAUGCUUCAGAUUUCUCUGUCUUGGCCAUAUCGGAAAUGGGAAUCUGUUACUUUUGGUAUGGAAAUGAUAUUGAGGAAUUACGCAAUUGCAAGCCCACAAAAGUCUCCUUAUCUCUUGAUGACCAAUACUUUAAGAGUCAGAAGGGUGCAAUGCCUACUAUAUUUGCUGCAAAAUUACUAGGCAAGGCCAAACCUGCAUCUGGGCACAUAUUUUUGGCCCACGGUUUGCUAUUAAAGCCGUUGUUUGAAAAAAUCUUAGUGCAUUCUGGCACAGAUUUGAAAUUAAGCAGUUCUCUUGAUGGAAUCCUUCUACCUAUCAGUCAGUCUCACAAGUUUAGAAAAGAGUCACAUGUACAUAAUGAAACUAGUGCACUAGACCGUGCAAAUGCAGAAGAUGCUAUGCACCCAAUUCCUAAGAUAUUUGAUUUUCAUGACAAAAAGAAAAGAGAUCCAAAGUUGAAACUUAUCACUGAUGGCAUGAUGGCUGAUGAUUUGGUCAACAGCAGCUGGCAAGCUCAGUUGGAGGCGAAGAGAGCAGAUGAAAUGGACAACGUUGAAGAUGUUCCUAGUAUUUGUAUGGAGGACCGGCUUAGGACCUUGGGAAUACUUGACAAUAAACAGGAUUACAUGUCUGAUAAAAUAAUUGAUUCAACAAAGUUGAUGGGCAUCGAUAUUAACGCUGAUCUGCCACAGAAGAAGGUGAGGGCAGCUAUUUCAUCCAUGGUACCUAGUGAUGCUUACAAGUUAUUGGAAGUCAUGGUGGCCAUGUGGCAGUCAAGAUCAUGGAGUGGAAAGUAUGCUCUUCCUUGGAUUGGUUGUAUAUUGGUGAAUCAUAGUGAUUAUGUAAUAUCUCAAGAACCAGUGACACAAUUGCUGGAUUCUUUACACAAGCUUACCAAGUCCAAGGGAGCAUCUAUCCAGUCUUUAUUGCAGUUGUCUGGCCGUUUGCAUCUCGUAACAGCACAGCAGAUUGACAAGGCUGUUCAAAAUGAAGGUCAUAGCUUUCUUCAUGAUCACCAGAUGGAUGAGAGUGAUGAUGAUGAUGAUGUGGAGGAAUAUCUUUAUGGUGAAGAAGAUGUAGAAUCACAAAGUAGCAGUGAUAAUGACUAGGUUCUUUCUUUUUUAACCCCACAAGAGGUGAUUAUUUCCUUGCCAAACCCAAUAUGCUUUUUCUUGUACAGUUGUAAACUACCAUUUUGCUAGUAAAGAGCUUGGAUGAAAGGGUAUUAUGGACCUGGGUUUCAUUUGCGGUUGGCUCCCUUCCCGGUGGAUUCAGGGUGGCUCAUGUGGCGUGGAACAUGUCCAAAUUUGUAGCCAAACCAUUUUACUAGUCUUCCGGUGCUGUAACCUGGUAACCGUUAGUUUCCGAAUUGUUCAACACUGCAGGGGCACAUGAUACAACACCCGUGCUUACUCAACCACAAUUUUGUCUCACUUUAAAUCAAUGCACUUCCCUAGACAUUUUUUAUACUUUUUUUUUU